Molecule: ribosomal RNA, 400 nt
Filed under: uncultured bacterium
Lineage: Bacteria
Description: bacterial SSU rRNA
Rfam family: Bacterial small subunit ribosomal RNA
Source: RNAcentral
CAGGGAAUUUUCCACAAUGGGCGAAAGCCUGAUGGAGCAACGCCGCGUGCAGGAUGAAGGCCUUCGGGUUGUAAACUGCUUUUAUACGUGAAGAAUAUGACGGUAGCGUAUGAAUAAGGAUCGGCUAACUCCGUGCCAGCAGCCGCGGUCAUACGGAGGAUCCAAGCGUUAUCCGGAUUUACUGGGCGUAAAGAGUUGCGUAGGUGGUAGUUUAAGCGAAUAGUGAAAUCUUGUGGCUCAACCAUAAGGCUAUUAUUCGAACUGGGCUACUCGAGAACGAGAGAGGUCACUGGAAUUCCUUGUGUAGGAGUGAAAUCCGUAGAUAUAAGGAGGAACACCAAUGGCGUAGGCAGGUGACUGGCUCGUUUCUGACACUGAGGCACGAAAGCGUGGGGAGCGA